RNAcentral lists this ribosomal RNA (393 nucleotides) under Bacillus sp. PBCC 34. Its description in RNAcentral is "bacterial SSU rRNA". It matches the Rfam family "Bacterial small subunit ribosomal RNA", at positions 102 to 480 of the family's 1533-position model. The record is from RNAcentral. Lineage: Bacteria; Bacillati; Bacillota; Bacilli; Caryophanales; Bacillaceae.
ACGGGUGAGUAACACGUGGGUAACCUGCCCAUAAGACUGGGAUAACUCCGGGAAACCGGGGCUAAUACCGGAUAACAUUUUGAACCGCAUGGUUCGAAAUUGAAAGGCGGCUUCGGCUGUCACUUAUGGAUGGACCCGCGUCGCAUUAGCUAGUUGGUGAGGUAACGGCUCACCAAGGCAACGAUGCGUAGCCGACCUGAGAGGGUGAUCGGCCACACUGGGACUGAGACACGGCCCAGACUCCUACGGGAGGCAGCAGUAGGGAAUCUUCCGCAAUGGACGAAAGUCUGACGGAGCAACGCCGCGUGAGUGAUGAAGGCUUUCGGGUCGUAAAACUCUGUUGUUAGGGAAGAACAAGUGCUAGUUGAAUAAGCUGGCACCUUGACGGUACCU